This 1678-nucleotide ribosomal RNA is filed under the name Staphylococcus aureus M1497. Its description in RNAcentral is "bacterial LSU rRNA". It matches the Rfam family "Bacterial large subunit ribosomal RNA", at positions 578 to 2259 of the family's 2925-position model. The record is from RNAcentral. Lineage: Bacteria; Bacillati; Bacillota; Bacilli; Caryophanales; Staphylococcaceae.
AGCCCGUUAAUGGGUGAUGGCGUGCCUUUUGUAGAAUGAACCGGCGAGUUACGAUUUGAUGCAAGGUUAAGCAGUAAAUGUGGAGCCGUAGCGAAAGCGAGUCUGAAUAGGGCGUUUAGUAUUUGGUCGUAGACCCGAAACCAGGUGAUCUACCCUUGGUCAGGUUGAAGUUCAGGUAACACUGAAUGGAGGACCGAACCGACUUACGUUGAAAAGUGAGCGGAUGAACUGAGGGUAGCGGAGAAAUUCCAAUCGAACCUGGAGAUAGCUGGUUCUCUCCGAAAUAGCUUUAGGGCUAGCCUCAAGUGAUGAUUAUUGGAGGUAGAGCACUGUUUGGACGAGGGGCCCCUCUCGGGUUACCGAAUUCAGACAAACUCCGAAUGCCAAUUAAUUUAACUUGGGAGUCAGAACAUGGGUGAUAAGGUCCGUGUUCGAAAGGGAAACAGCCCAGACCACCAGCUAAGGUCCCAAAAUAUAUGUUAAGUGGAAAAGGAUGUGGCGUUGCCCAGACAACUAGGAUGUUGGCUUAGAAGCAGCCAUCAUUUAAAGAGUGCGUAAUAGCUCACUAGUCGAGUGACACUGCGCCGAAAAUGUACCGGGGCUAAACAUAUUACCGAAGCUGUGGAUUGUCCUUUGGACAAUGGUAGGAGAGCGUUCUAAGGGCGUUGAAGCAUGAUCGUAAGGACAUGUGGAGCGCUUAGAAGUGAGAAUGCCGGUGUGAGUAGCGAAAGACGGGUGAGAAUCCCGUCCACCGAUUGACUAAGGUUUCCAGAGGAAGGCUCGUCCGCUCUGGGUUAGUCGGGUCCUAAGCUGAGGCCGACAGGCGUAGGCGAUGGAUAACAGGUUGAUAUUCCUGUACCACCUAUAAUCGUUUUAAUCGAUGGGGGGACGCAGUAGGAUAGGCGAAGCGUGCGAUUGGAUUGCACGUCUAAGCAGUAAGGCUGAGUAUUAGGCAAAUCCGGUACUCGUUAAGGCUGAGCUGUGAUGGGGAGAAGACAUUGUGUCUUCGAGUCGUUGAUUUCACACUGCCGAGAAAAGCCUCUAGAUAGAAAAUAGGUGCCCGUACCGCAAACCGACACAGGUAGUCAAGAUGAGAAUUCUAAGGUGAGCGAGCGAACUCUCGUUAAGGAACUCGGCAAAAUGACCCCGUAACUUCGGGAGAAGGGGUGCUCUUUAGGGUUAACGCCCAGAAGAGCCGCAGUGAAUAGGCCCAAGCGACUGUUUAUCAAAAACACAGGUCUCUGCUAAACCGUAAGGUGAUGUAUAGGGGCUGACGCCUGCCCGGUGCUGGAAGGUUAAGAGGAGUGGUUAGCUUCUGCGAAGCUACGAAUCGAAGCCCCAGUAAACGGCGGCCGUAACUAUAACGGUCCUAAGGUAGCGAAAUUCCUUGUCGGGUAAGUUCCGACCCGCACGAAAGGCGUAACGAUUUGGGCACUGUCUCAACGAGAGACUCGGUGAAAUCAUAGUACCUGUGAAGAUGCAGGUUACCCGCGACAGGACGGAAAGACCCCGUGGAGCUUUACUGUAGCCUGAUAUUGAAAUUCGGCACAGCUUGUACAGGAUAGGUAGGAGCCUUUGAAACGUGAGCGCUAGCUUACGUGGAGGCGCUGGUGGGAUACUACCCUAGCUGUGUUGGCUUUCUAACCCGCACCACUUAUCGUGGUGGGAGACAGUGUCA